UACGGGGGGGGCAAGCGUUGUUCGGAAUUACUGGGCGUAAAGGGCUCGUAGGCGGCCAACUAAGUCAGACGUGAAAUCCCUCGGCUUAACCGGGGAACUGCAUCUGAUACUGGAUGGCUUGAGAUUGGGAGAGGGAUGCGGAAUUCCAGGUGUAGCGGUGAAAUGCGUAGAUAUCUGGAGGAACACCGGUGGCGAAGGCGGCAUCCUGGACCGACAUUGACGCUGAGGCGCGAAAGCCAGGGGAGCAAACGGG
RNAcentral lists this ribosomal RNA (253 nucleotides) under uncultured bacterium. RNAcentral's name for it is "partial 16S ribosomal RNA". It matches the Rfam family "Bacterial small subunit ribosomal RNA", at positions 524 to 776 of the family's 1533-position model. The record is from RNAcentral.